Molecule: ribosomal RNA, 994 nt
Filed under: Methanomethylovorans sp. LFP3.1
Lineage: Archaea; Methanobacteriati; Methanobacteriota; Methanomicrobia; Methanosarcinales; Methanosarcinaceae
Description: bacterial SSU rRNA
Rfam family: Archaeal small subunit ribosomal RNA
Source: RNAcentral
CCCGGGAACUGGGGAUAAUUCCGGAUAGAUCAUAGAUGCUGGAAUGCGCUGUGGUCCAAAGCUAUUGCGCCUAAGGAUGGGUCUGCGGUCUAUCAGGUCGUAGUGGGUGUAAUGUACCUACUAGCCUACGACGGAUACGGGUUGUGGGAGCAAGAGCCCGGAGAUGGAUUCUGAGACAUGAAUCCAGGCCCUACGGGGCGCAGCAGGCGCGAAAACUUUACAAUGCGGGGAACCGCGAUAAGGGGACACCGAGUGCCAGCAUCCUAUGUUGGCUGUCCAUAUGUCUAAAUCGCAUAUGUUAGCAAGGGCCGGGCAAGACCGGUGCCAGCCGCCGCGGUAACACCGGCGGCCCGAGUGGUGGCCACUAAUAUUGGGUCUAAAGGGUCCGUAGCCGGCUUGGUCAGUCUUCCGGGAAAUCUGACGGCUUAACCGUUAGGCUUCCGGGGGAUACUACCAGGCUUGGGACCGGGAGAGGUAAGAGGUACUACGGGGGUAGGAGUGAAAUCUUGUAAUCCCCGUGGGACCACCAGUGGCGAAGGCGUCUUACCAGAACGGGUCCGACGGUGAGGGACGAAAGCUGGGGGCACGAACCGGAUUAGAUACCCGGGUAGUCCCAGCCGUAAACUAUGCUCGCUAGGUGUCAGGGACGGUGCGACCGUUUCUGGUGCCGCAGGGAAGCCGUGAAGCGAGCCACCUGGGAAGUACGGUCGCAAGGCUGAAACUUAAAGGAAUUGGCGGGGGAGCACUACAACGGGUGGAGCCUGCGGUUUAAUUGGACUCAACGCCGGAAAACUCACCGGGGGCGACAGCAAUAUGUAGGUCAAGCUAAAGACUUUACCAGAAUCGCUGAGAGGAGGUGCAUGGCCGUCGUCAGUUCGUACUGUGAAGCAUCCUGUUAAGUCAGGCAACGAGCGAGACCCGUGCCCACUGUUGCCAGCAUGUCCUUCGGGAUGAUGGGUACUCUGUGGGGACCGCCGAUGCUAAAUCGGAGGAA